AUUCGCUUAUUUUGCUGAAACUGAAAACUUUUUGCUGAAAGUACUAUUGAUAAAAGUAAAAGUUAGCGGAAACAUUGGGACCCAUAAAUAAUUCUAAAAAGUGCAGUGAGACUCAUGAAUAGUAGCAAAAAUAAGCUGAAUAGUAAAAUAAGUUGGCAAAAAUAAUUUUUCCCAAACGCACACGCAUUGUAGCCUCCAAAGGCAAUUCAAUAUUUAUUUUAUUAUUAAUAAAAUAUAGACUUUUUGUCAAAUUCUUUCUCUGAUGGAUUCAUGUUUAUCACCUUGUGAAUUCAAGGAACCCUCAUGGAUUCGAGGUUUACUACUUAGAAACUAAUAGUUUAGUUUAUGUCUAUCAAAGAGAGCAUUGUGUGCGCUCUUUUUAGGCUUCUGCGACAUUAGUUGGUAUCAGAGCCUUGACAUACCUUGGUCUGAUGGCUAACCGGUGAGAUAGUGACCACCACAACAACGACGACAGCAACGAUGUCAACAACACAGUCCUCACUAGGGUUGAGUUUCUCAAGUUUUGUGAAGAGGCUUGUGAUGAGAAUCAACAAUUUCGUGAAAAGAGUCAACAAAUUAUAGGUGAAAUUAAGCAAAUGAUUGCUACUUUUCUUGCUAGGAAAUCAUCUCACAACAACAAUGAUCAAUAUAUUCAAAGACGCACUCCUAACUACAAGAAAAUUUCAUUAUUUGAUGGAGAUAUGUGUAAGUUGGAUUUUAUUGAUUGGCUUCCUGAUUUGGAAGAGUAUUUUAAUUUUUGGAAGAUUUGUGAUGAAGAAAGAGUACGGCUUGCAUCUAAUAAAUUGGACGAUGAAGCAGAGGAAUGGUGGGAAGACAUUCAAAUUGAUAGAAAGAGGUGAGGUAAGCAUCCAAUCUGCUCUUGACAAGGAAUGAAAAAGGUAUUAAUUGAUUUAUGUUUCCUAAUGCCUGUUAUGAUAUGCUAGAUUAUACAAGUGUUGAUUAUAAAUCUAUAUAUUCAUAUGAAAAGCAAUAUGUUCAAAACAUGACAGGUCAACAACAACUUAUUUAGCUGUUAUGAUAUGCUAGACUUGGGCAUCUUACUUCUCUUGAGAUACUAACAGAGUUUGCUGUGAGGCAAGAGGAUUUGAAGGCUAGCUCAUGUAAUUGGCAUAAGAAAAAAUAGGCUAGGUUUGGUGGUGGGCUAAGUGAAUUGAAGGAGCUGAGCAAUUUGGGAGGAAGUCUAGUCAUUAAAAGUUUGGGGCAUGGAGAAGAUGACAUGGUAGAAUGUAAAGCCACAAAUAUGAAGGACAAACAACAUCUUCAAGAGCUGAGAUUACAGUGGGAUUACAAGCGGGAUGAUGGAGAAACCGAAUGUUACGAUGAAAUGUCACUGAACGGCCUCCAGCCACAUCCAAAUCUCAAAGGGUUGGAAUUGUGGAAUUAUAUGGGUAUGAGAAUUCCAAGUUAGGUCUCUUCUCUCACUAAUCUUGUUGAUUUUGAAUUAGUGGGAAAUAGGAGAUUGCAGCACCUCCCACCGUUAAAUCAACUCCCUUUUCUCAAGUUUGUCUAUCUUGAAUAUAUGGAAGCGCUUGAAUACAUAUGGAUAGAUGAAGAGAGUGUUAGUAACAUGUUGGGUGGUUCCUCUUCUUCUUCUUCUUGAAAAACACCAUUCUUCCCAUCCUUAUCUUUUCUAAAUAUUAGGGGUUGCCCAAAACUGAAGGGAUGGUGGAGAAAUUCAGAUGAUGAUGAUGAUGAGCCACACCAUCUCUUACUUCCAUCAUUUCCUCCUUCUCUUUUGGAAUUAUAUAUUUGGGGAUGCCCUAACUUGACUUCCAUGCCCCCAUUUCCAUAUUUGAAAGAAAUGUUAUUAUUGUGUGGGUGUAGCUGGAAGUUAUUAGAGCAGACAAUGAAAAUGGGAGCAGCAACCACAUCAACCUACUUUCCUCUCUCUCAAUUACAGCAAUUACACUUAUCUAAGAUGAACGAGUUUGAAUCUCUUCUAGAGGAGGGGCUGCGGAACCUCGUUUCUCUCCGGGAACUCAAUAUACAAAGCUGCGAUGGACUGGUUUUUCUCCCUUGGAUAGGCAGCCUUACAUCACUACAAACCCUUGAAAUCUGGGGAUGUCACAAUCUGAUGUCACUUCCUCAAGAGAUUCGCAAUCUCACCUCUUUAAAAAAGUUGAAAAUUUCUGAUUGUCUCCUCUUAGGGCAAAAGGGUGAAGAUUGGUCCUUCAUUGCCCAUUUCCCAGUCGUAGAUGUGGAUUUUCAGAACCAGCAAGAAGAAACAAUUUCUUCAGAAUUCGAGUCAGAGUCAAGAGUCAAUUUGUCAAGAAGAGGACUUGAUUGAGCACCUAGCACUGUAGGAAACAAUUUCUUUUCCAGAACCAACUGAGGCAAAGAACAAGAUUGGGUACAAAAUUCGAAACCUAUUCAAAAACUGCAAUUGUGCAACAGGUCAAGAACUCAAUGAAUCAUAGCAAAUUUCCUAGAACUUUGAAGGGAGGACUUGACCAGGCAACUAAAACUGCUGGAAUUAGCUUACUAAACCGAAUUGUAGCAAAUUUGGUAGAAUUUUGAAGGGAGGAACAAGACCAGGCAACUAACACUCCAAGGAAUCAGCUUACUAUGUAUUUUGGUGGUUUACUUUUUUCUUUUUUGAGAAUAUAUUUUUGCUUUCUCACAUGUUGGUGUGAAGACUUGAUUUUUUUUUAAGUCAGAAAAAAAACAUAAGAACGACUGAACAGAGUCUAAUUUUGCGUACAUGCACAAAUUUUAAGGUAGAUUUGAUUGAAUUGAAUUCUUAUUUGUUACUCAAUUAAAUAUUACUAAUUAAGGUUUUUCAUUUCACUUCCAAUUAAGACUUGAGGAUAACAUCAUUGUUCUUUUCAUUUUCUGUCUUUGAAAUUUUGUCUAUUUUUCUACCUCCUAAAGAAAUAGCCUCUGCUUCUUAACUUUUGGUCGUGCAGACUCUGUUCGAACAUUGGGCAACAUUACACAUGUUCUUUUUUAUAAUCACUGGAAAGCAAUGGGGACAAUCUACAUAACGGAUGGAUAGAGUGUAUGGAGUUUUUAGGCCGAAAAGAGGUAAAGGGGCAAGGUUGGUUGAGCUGUGAAGGGUAGGAGAGGCAGUUUGAUUAAAUUUUCCAAAGGCGGAGUAAUUUGCUGCAAAGUGAUGCAGAGAUCUUGCCACACCUUCUACUGUUGGAGCCUGUUCCUCAGAUCCAAAUAUUUUGAAGACUGACUUUGAAGCCAAAGAAGAAUGAGAGAAUGACUGAAUGAGUCUAAUUUGUGAUUAAUGCACAAAUUCAAAGGUUGUUGUGCUCAAAACAAAACCCAAGAUUAAGAACUUUUGGUUUUUCCAAAGACUCUAAUUGAAUAUCGAGCAACAUUGCUAAUCUUCUUUUCUCUAAUCACUGCAAAGAACCAGCAUGCUGGCCCCCCACAUGUGUAUGGGGGAUAGAGCACAUGAAAAUUUUAAGCCAUAAAGAGGUAGAACGAAUAAGGAUGGUUGAGACAUGACAGGUAAGAGAAGCAGUUUGAUUAAAUAUCCUAAAGAUGGAUUAAUUCACUGUAAAGCAAUGCAGAGGUAAGCAAAUUCUAGCAUUUGAACUAUUCUUACCUUAUCAUUUUUGCCAAAAGAUCAUAUAGGAGCCAAUACGAAAAUUCUUCUUGUAGAUCAUUUGGAAUGGUGAAUUAAAUACAUUGUGCCACACAUUGAAUAAAAUAAUGGUUUAAUUGGCUGAUUCUAUAUGUUUUUGGGUUUUUGAAUAUAUCUAUGGGUUGUUAUCUAGUACUAAUCUCACCAAGGGAGGGGUAUCUUGAUACAGUCCUCCUCGUUAGAACUUGCCCUCAAGUAUACUCUUUUCUAAUACUAAAAGACAUGCACGCAUUUCCUACAAAAAUGAGCGGAAGUUGUUUCUAAUUUUUUUUUUUAAUAUUUUAUUUUAUAGUUUUUUAAAGAUGAUGCUAUUUGAAUUGACGGUGGUAUCUUUUGUAAUUAUAUUUAGAGAUCCAUACUGUGUGGCAAUUACGCAUUUUAGACAAGUUCUAUAUGUCAGCCUUUUUUGUGAUUUGAAAGCUCAAAUUAAGGUCCACUAUAUGAUUAAUCAAUCAAUUCAAAGGAAAGGGCACUAGUGCCAUCAGAUUAACAUCUUUUUGUUGAAGAAAUAUACAUAUGAUUCUGUAGUUUACUAAUUAAGCUGCACCCUUCACAAGUUAUCAAAUGUAAUUUUGUUCCUUUUUUUUCCCUUUCUCUGUUUGCCUCUUUAAGGUUUUUAAAAAAAUAUAUAUUUAUAAUAAAACUCUGUAGUAUAUUUGUAGAACGGAUUGCAACACUAAACUAUAGGUCUUAAGUAUUGAUGCUAUUCAUCAUGUGCAUACUAUAGUCCUACAACAAGGCAGUGAUAUAUAUCCAUUUCACAACACUCUCUUCUAUUGCACUUUUAUUUUGCAUCUGAUAUCUCCAUGUCCUUUUAUUUGUUACUUUUCUUCAAAACUGUAUCUCAUACUUUAUUGACAGGCAUUUGCAUUUGGUUUUUGUAUUAAGUAAUAUAUAAACCAAGUGAUAUCUGGCACUUGUUGACCUUGAGUUACAAUUUUUCAAGAGGGUGAAUCCUGAGUACAAUUCACAGGGAAAUAGCUUGGAGCUAUUAUCCAUGUAAGCUAUCAUUAAUAUUUUACUGAAAAUAGGUCACUAAUUAUCAUCUUGUAUGUAGUCCGUGACAAGAGUUCAUAGAAUAACUUUGGUUUUUCAUUUUUUUCCUUAAUUUUGGUUUCUAUAUCUUAGUGUGCAUCAAAAGCACAAAUAUGCAUUAGCGUUUAAAGUCACAAAAUUCUAGGGACAGCGUAAUUUUAUGCUUCAUUCGAUUGGCAAGAAAGACCAAGAACAGCCAAUAUUGUUUCAACAACUUUUGGUAUAUGGUGGACAAAACUACUUGAUUUGGCUUAAUACAAUUUUUUUUAAUAAGUAAACAUAUUGUUAAAAGGGCGCAAAAUGGGGGCACAGCCCUAGUACACCAGAUCUAUACAAGAGAUUUAAUUUUCUUAAUUUAAUUAUUUAGUUCAAAUCAUGUGGGAAUUUUGUAUUUCUAAAAUGUGUGAUGAAUACAUUGCCAAUUUUUCUUACUCCAACUAGCAGAAACAUGAAUUAAGGAGGUGUAAUGGAUCAUAAGAUUGCUGGUGCCCCAAAUAUUCUAUCUAGGUCCAGAAGGAUUUCACCCCAUUAGCCACACAAGUUCUUGAAUCCUUCGACCUCUGCCUCAUAUAUUAUUGAACCACAUCUUGAUCAGUUGUGCUCUCUUUUUAUUGUUUUCUUUCAAGAGCAUCUCAUUUUAUUGAAUUUCUAAAUUAUUUGUUUCUGUAUAUAAAAUAGAGGAUUGUGGCAUUGAAACCAAAAGGAUUUUCAAAGAUGGUUCUACCAAAAAAAAAAAGCAUCAUCUUUCAAUAGAUUAAGUAAUACGCCUCUCACUUCCUUAAUUUAGUAUCAUAUAUAUGAUAAUUUUUGUAACAGUUUUUUCUUUUCAAAAAUUUGCUCGCAAAAUUAUUUUUGUAAUAUUAAUAUUUUUUAACUAGUGAAUUCUUAAUUUUGUAGUUCUCUUUUUUUGUGCUGUUUGGAGCUCAUUGUUAUGUACAAUUGACAAUUUCAUGUGCAUGGCAAAAUUGUGCAUGCUCCAUUGAUGGCUUUUGAGACUUCCACAACUAAGAACCUCUUCAUGUGGAUGGAGGUCACUGUGUCGUCUUUUAAGUAAGUGUGAAGUGUGUAGAUGAUCCAUAUGUGUGUAUUUUAGAGAAAAGGGAAAAUGAGCAUUUUCAAUAAGGGCCUAGAAUUAGGGAGAGAAAGAUUACGUCCCUCGUUGACUUCCAUUAGGAUGAAAUUCCUUAUUCUUUUAUUUACCAAGGAAGAUUUGGCAACCAAAGCUUUGUCCUACCAUAUGCUCUUUACAAGCAAGUUUUUAGAAGGUAUGAGAACUUGCAUUUGGAUUAAAAUAAAAGCUGGUAUGGUACUUUCAUAUUCCUCAAAACAAUUGAAAUUCAAUUCAACUUUAAGAAAUAGAACUCUGAAGCUCAACUUCCCUCCCCUGCCCCUUGUUGGUAGGGGUUAUGUUGAUGAGGAUUAUUAUGUUCCCUGCAUUUAGUCAGGAUGUUAUGCCCUUCCUAGAUUUUAGAUUCUUACCACUUGAAGUAUGAGUGAAUGCCUUCAAAAUUUCUAAAGGGUAGGUUGUCCGUUGUCUCAUGUAUGGUUUUAACCGCUUGACUGAAGAUCAACUUUGUGAAUAGUUUUCACAAUUUAUUUUUUACAUAUUUAUUUUGGCCCUAGAGCUUGAUAUUUACAAAUUUUACACAUUUUAAAGCUUGAUUUAAUCCAUGAUAUUAUUCUGGUAAUGUUCUACUUGCUACUGCUAGCUAGGUUUGUUGUAUUUUUAAAUCACAAAUACUUUGUCUUUAGAGCAAAAUUUACUCUUUUUUUUAAUAUUAAUUAUCAGAUUCAAGUAGUUCUGUUUCAUACUUCCUUGAAGAAGGUAGGAAAAAAAAAAUUAUAAGUGCAAUGCUGAAAUAUCAAAUGUGUAUUUCUGCUCAACAACAAUAUCUAUUGAGAAUUGUUUUGUUUAACUGCUCUCAUUUUGGCCAGCAUAGCCAUAGAUUAUCUCAUGCUUGUCUUAUUGAUUUAUUUAUUUUUCUUCCUUGUUGAUGACCGUUGCAUUAUGCUUUGUAGUUAAGAUGGUAAGAGCCUUUAUCCUCAUUUUGCAGAAUAUUUGCCUCAAUGUCUUGAGCCAUUGUUUUGGGUAUAAUAGAGAGGCAAAUAGAGCUAUUGUUUCCCCUACAGAUGAUAGUUCCACUAAGCAUGCAACCUGACUCAUAACUCCUAAUCUGUGAGACUUGAGCCUAUAUGUUUGUUUGUGGUAUGUCAGCCAUUAUACGACCGUGUAGUUCCCUGUUGAAUGGUUGUCAAACGGUGACUACACAGCAGUAAGCAAAAAAAGUCUGGAAUCUAGCUAUUACAAAAAAGAUGUUUAAGAUCACAUAAUGAUGUGGACUGGUCAUAUUUGUUCCUUUGGGGAAGUAUUAGUCAUCUUCAACAGUUUUAGUAGAGAAAUGAGGACCAUUGAGUAGAGUCAUGUCAACCGGAAUGCUGAAAUCACAAUUCUCAACUUGUUGAAUACUGUUGCCAACUAGACCAUCAAGUAUUCGUAUUUCAUGACUUCAAAUUUUAUGAUUUGGGAGGCCAACUUUGUGUGAGCUUUUGGUGGAUCAACUUAUUGGGUUCCUUUUGCAGUAACUAGGGUGCUCCUUGUACUUGUAUACAAGUUAUGUUUGGAGGUUCUUUUUUAUAUUAAUUUUCUUUUUCUUAAGGAGAUGGAAACUUUGAAAAGAAAU
Quercus lobata is the source of this 7335-nucleotide long non-coding RNA. RefSeq lists it as uncharacterized. NCBI's taxonomy places the organism in Eukaryota, Viridiplantae, Streptophyta, Magnoliopsida, Fagales, Fagaceae. The record is from RefSeq and is a predicted model, not a curated record. The transcript is spliced from 13 exons.